AUGACUUCCCAAGUCUGGGUGGUAUUUGUGUGCAGCCCGGAAUGUCUGCUCAGCCCCCAAAUCUGCUCAGACAAACACGAGAUCACGGGCAGCGACGGCAACACAAAUCGGGUCCUGCUGACCAGCGUACAAACUGUUCCUUCCUGUCCGUGGCUGAGAGCCCAAAUUUGGUCUGUGGCAGCUCAGGACAAAGGCGCUGUGGCAGUGGCCGCGGCCCCGCCUUUCCUCUGCCCGGGACAACUCCCUCUGCCCGGAGGCUGUGCUUCCACCGGUCACGGUCACUGCUGGAGGUCACCACGUGGCCCGAGUCCAUCUAGCAGAUGUUUUCAGACCACCUGGUUAACCUGGCGGGCACUGGGGAGAUGGCAGAGGACCAGGUGGGAGGGACAAAAGGAAACUGCAGGCAGCAGGGCCUGGGAGGAGCCCGCAGGUUCUGCCUCCUGCUGCGAGCUGGUCACGGGCACUGGUCAAAGCAAGUGCAAAGGUCCUAGGGCAGGGACCGACAGGGGGGGUGAGGGCCAGGGAGAGGACACAGGGCUGGAACACGGUGGCCAGGGCAGAGACAAGAAGCUGCCGGGCUCCUCCUGGAUGUGGCUGAAAACUUAGGACAUUUGGGCUUUCACCUCCUCAUGCCCACCCACCCCCCGAAGAGCUAUCGCCAAAGAUGCCGCUGCCGGCGCACCCGAUCUGUUGCUCUGGGUCCCCUCAGCCUCUGCCGCACCCCUAGCUAGGUCUGCAAGCCUGGGCGUGCAGGGGAAGCCAGGAUUCUUUCACCCAGCACAUCUUGAGCACCCACUGCGUACCAGGUCCUGCCCCUGGGCUGUCGGGAGCCCGCGAGGAUCCCCCCGGAGCCCGGAGCGCCUGCGGCUGAGCUGGCCUCGAUCUCCCGGGCUGGCGGGGCCACUCGGAGGGAAAACUCGGGAGGCUGAGGCAGGAGAGUUCGCCGGGAGUUCCCAGUCCGCCCGGGCUCCACGGCGAGUUCAAGGCCUCGGCUACUCAUGGAGACCCUGUCUAAGAAACCAAUACUAAUAAUAAAAGAGCCCGGCGGGAAUAAAAUAAGAAGUGAAGGAAGGAAGAAGCGGGG
RNAcentral lists this long non-coding RNA (1084 nucleotides) under Fukomys damarensis (Damara mole-rat). Its description in RNAcentral is "lncRNA (ENSFDAG00000027555.1)". Lineage: Eukaryota; Metazoa; Chordata; Mammalia; Rodentia; Bathyergidae. The record is from RNAcentral.